Long non-coding RNA from Suricata suricatta (meerkat), 1059 nucleotides. RefSeq lists it as uncharacterized. NCBI's taxonomy places the organism in Eukaryota, Metazoa, Chordata, Mammalia, Carnivora, Herpestidae. The transcript has 4 exons. The record is from RefSeq and is a predicted model, not a curated record.
ACAAUGGGCAACACCCUUCUCUGCCAGUGAACAAACAGCCGCCUCCCAACUUGGCAGUGGCAGUGGCCUGGGCACUCAGGGCGCCAGGGCAUGGAGGAGGGAAGCUGGAAGAUCGCCAACUCCGCCUCGACGGGGGCCUGACUCAGGCAACUCCCACCCCAGCUCCACACCAGGGCACCCGCACCCGGAACUAAAGCACACAGGGACUCCCGGACCGGGGAGCACCCCGGGCAUUUGUACUGUCAACUUGGCCCGGCCCCUUCCCCGGGCUGGAGCGGCUCCAUCAUCACAACAAAACGCCUUGGAGGCCUGCGGCUUUCGCUCGCGUCCCUUCCAGACGCGCCCUGGGUCUAAGAGACCUGAGCCCCUUCCCCCAUAACCGCCGCCAGUGGAAGCCAGGGGAGACUUCGGGGACAGGCGGAUCGCCAGCCUGAGCCAGAAUCAAACUCCAGGCCGCGCGGGGAGAGGGAGUCUGCAGACCCAGCCUCGAGCUAAGGGUACGGGAGGAGUCUGAAGGCCCCUCCAGGCUCCCAGGAAACUCACACAUAGAAGAAAAAGAGGCAGAGUAUCGGGCACUUGGAAAAAGAUCUCGCCCGAAGUGGAGUAAAGGUACUCAGACAGAGCCCUGGAGCAGGACUGGGGGCCCGCAAAGGAGGCCCUGGAGCAGGACUGGGGGCCCGCAGAGGAGGCCCUGUGGCUCUGGCUGCGGGCAGCGCUGGAGGCCCUGUUGAGAAAGUGCAGGUGCCGCAGCCAGAGCGGGGUGAGCUGGGACUCUGCAGGGCCCUGUGUGAGCUCCUCGCUCCUCGCUCCGGAGCACAAAGUGAGGCUCCCAUCCUUCUCUCCCUGGUCUUUCUUGCUUGUCUGCAGCCCCAGGGAGGUCCCCUGAGGUAGAAAAUACUCUUCCCAGGCCGAGAGCUCUCCACUACUCAGGGCUGCUUGCCCACAUUGGGGGUCACGUUCUCAGGAAGAAGGCUGUCAAGGCCUGGGACAUCAUCCAAAGGAGACAGGAACCAAGCCCCCAACAGAGUUGCUGUGAAUAAUAUCAUUUCUGUGACGGUG